This 301-nucleotide ribosomal RNA is filed under the name uncultured bacterium. RNAcentral describes it as "partial 16S ribosomal RNA". It matches the Rfam family "Bacterial small subunit ribosomal RNA", at positions 509 to 809 of the family's 1533-position model. The record is from RNAcentral.
CAGCAGCCGCGGGAAUACGAAGGGGGCUAGCGUUGCUCGGAAUGACUGGGCGUAAAGGGCGCGUAGGCGGCGAUCAAAGUCAGGCGUGAAAUUCCUGGGCUCAACCUGGGGGCUGCGUUUGAUACUUGAUUGCUAGAGUGGGGAAGAGGGUCGUGGAAUUCCCAGUGUAGAGGUGAAAUUCGUAGAUAUUGGGAAGAACACCGGUGGCGAAGGCGGCGACCUGGUCCUUGACUGACGCUGAGGCGCGAAAGCGUGGGGAGCAAACAGGAUUAGAUACCCCUGUAGUCCCUGUCUCUUAUAA